GGGCCCGAGUUGCGCACAGGGCAAUACAAUGACAGAGAGGCCGUUUCAUGACAAUCAUUCACUUAAUCACUUAAAGCUAAAUGGAAAAAGAUCAAAGUUACCUUUAUGGUGAGGCAAAAGUGGCUGUGGUAUUAAUGCGGCGGUGAUUAAUGCUUAGUGUGAGCGUAAUCAAACCUAUUCAUUGAAUUUGUACGUUAUUAUAAAUCAAAAUUAUUUAUCUUGUUAAAGUACUGCCAAGCUGGCGCUCAGCUAUUAAUAAUCUCUACGGUAACAAGGUUAAAAAUGGUUACAAAAUGUUACAACGGCAAGCGACCGUAUGGACCGCGCGCGCGUCCUUAGAAACAUUUAGAAAUAAAUUUAAGAGAGUUUAAUGGAACGUUAUCUCCAAGCAGCGACAAGCCGCGAUCUUCACACGCACGACUCUGUACACUUGUUGUUGCCAUGUUUGGACUGUUUAGCUGCUGCUGGAUUUUCUCGCCUCAAGCCCAGAAUAGCCACAUAUAACAACAGCGACCAAUUUCGCAUUUGGCUGCGUGCGUGUUAUCCGCUGGGAACAUUAAGCUGUUGCACCUCCCACGCAAAUUACGAAAAUUGUCCAUUAACCCAAUUACCGAAUUGUCAAUAAAGCAACAAGGGACUUAGGCGAAGAGGAAAUUGUAACGUUCUCGCACCGCGCUCGCUUACUUUUGCCCCAUACGUACGCCCACCAUCAUUGCGCGCAUCAAGGUUCGCCCCAAUCUUUGCAACCCUCUGGAUCGCUUCGGCAUGGAACGCUAUGUCUACCUAGUUCGUCCUAGUUGCGGUUCCCUCCAGGGCCGUGUAACAACUUUGGCAAGGAACCGGUUCGCCAAGUGAGUAACUAUCGAAGACCCGCUGCUGCUACCCGCAGAGCGCAUCAUCCCCCAUAUGAUGCCGUUACAGGGGCUGCCUGGGCUGGAUGCCAGUUGCCCCGCCUCAUUCGUGUCUUUAGCUCCCCGCCUGGCAAUGCCUGCAGCUGCAGGGCACCAAAUCCUGACACGCUGGCCCUGGUGCUGCGCGGACAGGUGAUGAUGCAACACAUAAGCACCUAACGGACACGCCCAGGUGAUGUGAUGUGACGUAAGAGGCACUCUCAGGUCCCGAGCCAGAUUCUCGGAAGUGCUGAAAAAAUGAAGUUCCCGGUUUCACCCUUGCAGGUUGUGUUGCGGGGCUCUUACCUAGCCUUACCUAGCCUUACCUUACUGCG
This 1225-nucleotide long non-coding RNA is filed under the name Volvox carteri. Its description in RNAcentral is "long non-coding RNA (VCAR_LNC002791)". The record is from RNAcentral. Lineage: Eukaryota; Viridiplantae; Chlorophyta; Chlorophyceae; Chlamydomonadales; Volvocaceae.